AACCUCUGAAGAUCUCUUUGAAAGCUGUGAAGAUUCCCUUUGCUAGUCAACUCUUCUACCAAUGAAGAAAAGGACCUUUCAAGUCUGAUCAGUUCAGCUACCUCUGUUCUGUCUGUCCUUUUUUGAGAACGUGGGUCUUCAGGUUUGUUAGCUGAAUAAGGAAAGUCUUCUCUGCAGUAGUCAAAGUACCUGAAACUCUUUCUUAGUUUUGGAUACAACCAAACUGCAUCAAGACAGGCUGCUUGAAGACAAA
Molecule: long non-coding RNA, 253 nt
Filed under: Trifolium pratense (red clover)
Lineage: Eukaryota; Viridiplantae; Streptophyta; Magnoliopsida; Fabales; Fabaceae
Description: long non-coding RNA (TPRA_LNC011048)
Source: RNAcentral